RNAcentral lists this ribosomal RNA (253 nucleotides) under uncultured bacterium. Its description in RNAcentral is "partial 16S ribosomal RNA". It matches the Rfam family "Bacterial small subunit ribosomal RNA", at positions 524 to 776 of the family's 1533-position model. The record is from RNAcentral.
UACGUAGGGAGCUAGCGUUGUUCGGAAUUACUGGGCGUAAAGGGCGCGUAGGCGGACAUCUAAGUCAGGGGUGAAAUCCCAGGGCUCAACCCUGGAAUUGCCUUUGAUACUGGACGUCUCGAGUUCGGGAGAGGUGAGUGGAAUUCCGAGUGUAGAGGUGAAAUUCGUAGAUAUUCGGAGGAACACCAGAAGCGAAGGCGGCUCACUGGCACGAUACUGACGCUGAGGCGCGAAAGCGUGGGGAGCAAACAGG